RNAcentral lists this ribosomal RNA (425 nucleotides) under uncultured bacterium. Its description in RNAcentral is "partial 16S ribosomal RNA". It matches the Rfam family "Bacterial small subunit ribosomal RNA", at positions 354 to 796 of the family's 1533-position model. The record is from RNAcentral.
GUGGGGAAUAUUGGACAAUGGGCGCAAGCCUGAUCCAGCCAUGCCGCGUGAGUGAUGAAGGCCCUAGGGUUGUAAAGCUCUUUCACCGGAGAAGAUAAUGACGGUAUCCGGAGAAGAAGCCCCGGCUAACUUCGUGCCAGCAGCCGCGGUAAUACGAAGGGGGCUAGCGUUGUUCGGAAUUACUGGGCGUAAAGCGCACGUAGGCGGACAUUUAAGGCAGGGGUGAAAUCCCGGGGCUCAACCCCGGAACUGCCUUUGAUACUGGGUGUCUGGAGUAUGGAAGAGGUAAGUGGAAUUCCGAGUGUAGAGGUGAAAUUCGUAGAUAUUCGGAGGAACACCAGUGGCGAAGGCGGCUUACUGGUCCAUUACUGACGCUGAGGUGCGAAAGCGUGGGGAGCAAACAGGAUUAGAAACCCUGGUAGUCC